AAAAAGACAAACCCUGGUUUUCGUGCCUAACAUUUGACCGUUCGUCUUAUUUGAAAAAAUUAUGAAAAAAAUUAAAAAGACAAGUCACGCAUAAAAUAUUAAUCAUGUUUUAUCAUCUAACAACAAUGAAAAUACGAAUUAUAAAAAAAUUUCAUAUAAGACGGACAGUUAAAGUUGGACACGGAAACCCAGGGUUUGUUUUUUU
This 205-nucleotide microRNA precursor is filed under the name Oryza nivara. RNAcentral describes it as "MIR812 microRNA precursor family". It matches the Rfam family "MIR812 microRNA precursor family". Lineage: Eukaryota; Viridiplantae; Streptophyta; Magnoliopsida; Poales; Poaceae. The record is from Rfam by way of RNAcentral.